CAGUAGCCGCGGUAAUACGAAGGGGGCUAGCGUUGUUCGGAUUUACUGGGCGUAAAGCGCACGUAGGCGGAUCGAUCAGUCAGGGGUGAAAUCCCAGAGCUCAACUCUGGAACUGCCUUUGAUACUGUCGAUCUGGAGUAUGGAAGAGGUGAGUGGAAUUCCGAGUGUAGAGGUGAAAUUCGUAGAUAUUCGGAGGAACACCAGUGGCGAAGGCGGCUCACUGGUCCAUUACUGACGCUGAGGUGCGAAAGCGUGGGGAGCAAACAGGAUUAGAUACCCGUGUAGUCCCUGUCUCUUAUAC
RNAcentral lists this ribosomal RNA (301 nucleotides) under uncultured bacterium. RNAcentral describes it as "partial 16S ribosomal RNA". It matches the Rfam family "Bacterial small subunit ribosomal RNA", at positions 509 to 807 of the family's 1533-position model. The record is from RNAcentral.